RNAcentral lists this ribosomal RNA (468 nucleotides) under uncultured bacterium. Its description in RNAcentral is "partial 16S ribosomal RNA". It matches the Rfam family "Bacterial small subunit ribosomal RNA", at positions 28 to 507 of the family's 1533-position model. The record is from RNAcentral.
GACGAACGCUGGCGGCGUGCUUAACACAUGCAAGUCGAACGGAAAGGCCCUGCUUUUGUGGGGUGCUCGAGUGGCGAACGGGUGAGUAACACGUGAGUAACCUGCCCUUGUCUUUGGGAUAACUUCAGGAAACUGGGGCUAAUACCGGAUAGGAGCUCCUGCUGCAUGGUGGGGGUUGGAAAGUUUCGGCGGUUGGGGAUGGACUCGCGGCUUAUCAGCUUGUUGGUGGGGUAGUGGCUUACCAAGGCUUUGACGGGUAGCCGGCCUGGGAGGGUGACCGGCGACAUUGGGACUGAGAUACGGCCCAGACGCCUACGGGAGGCAGCAGUGGGGAAUAUUGCGGAAUGGGCGGAAGCCAGAUGCAGCAACGCCGCGUGCGGGAUGACGGCCUUCUGGUUGUAAACCGCUUUCGCCUGUGACGAAGCGGGAGUGACGGUAAUGGGUAAAGAAGCACCGGCUAACUACGUG